RNAcentral lists this ribosomal RNA (496 nucleotides) under uncultured bacterium. Its description in RNAcentral is "partial 16S ribosomal RNA". It matches the Rfam family "Bacterial small subunit ribosomal RNA", at positions 28 to 507 of the family's 1533-position model. The record is from RNAcentral.
GAUGAACGCUGGCGGCGUGCCUAAUACAUGCAAGUCGAGCGAACAGACGCGAAGCUUGCUUUUCUGAUGUUAGCGGCGGACGGGUGAGUAACACGUGGAUAACCUACCUAUAAGACUGGGAUAACUUCGGGAAACCGGAGCUAAUACCGGAUAAUAUCUUGAACCGCAUGGUUCAAUAGUGAAAGACGGUCUUGCUGUCACUUAUAGAUGGAUCCGCGCUGCAUUAGCUAGUUGGUAAGGUAACGGCUUACCAAGGCAACGAUGCAUAGCCGACCUGAGAGGGGGUUGGCCGCCCCUGAACGUGACCCGCGUCCCUGGGCCUGAGGGAGGGCCGAGGUGGGGACGGUACGGAAAUGGGGGAAAGCUUGCCGAAGCAGCGCCGGGUGGGUGAUGAGGUGCUGCGGACGGUAAAACUCCCUUAUGGUGGAAAACCACUUGCGUAAGUAAAGGAGCGAAUGUGACGGUACCUGAAGAAGAAGCCCCGGCUAACUACGUG